CCCGGGCGACCGGCGCACGGGUGAGUAACGCGUAUGCAACCUGCCCGUUUCAGCGGGAUAACCCGGAGAAAUCCGGCCUAAUACCGCAUGUGGCCGAGGGGAGGCAUCUUCUUUCGGCCAAAGGAGGCGACUCCGGAGACGGAUGGGCAUGCGUGACAUUAGCUUGUUGGCGGGGUAACGGCCCACCAAGGCGACGAUGUCUAGGGGUUCUGAGAGGAAGGUCCCCCACACUGGUACUGAGACACGGACCAGACUCCUACGGAAGGCAGCAG
Molecule: ribosomal RNA, 272 nt
Filed under: uncultured bacterium
Lineage: Bacteria
Description: partial 16S ribosomal RNA
Rfam family: Bacterial small subunit ribosomal RNA
Source: RNAcentral